This 21-nucleotide non-coding RNA is filed under the name Caenorhabditis elegans. The record is from RNAcentral. Lineage: Eukaryota; Metazoa; Nematoda; Chromadorea; Rhabditida; Rhabditidae.
UAUCAUUCUUCUCGUUGGUUU